This 459-nucleotide ribosomal RNA is filed under the name uncultured bacterium. Its description in RNAcentral is "partial 16S ribosomal RNA". It matches the Rfam family "Bacterial small subunit ribosomal RNA", at positions 34 to 507 of the family's 1533-position model. The record is from RNAcentral.
CGCUGGCGGCGUGCUUAACACAUGCAAGUCGAACGGUAAGGCCCCUUCGGGGGUACACGCGUGGCGAACGGGUGAGUAACCCGUGAGCAACCUGCCCUUGACUCUGGAAUAACAGUUGGAAACAGCUGCUAAUACUGGAUAUUCAUCGUCUCCUUCCUGGGGGGUGGUGGAAAGCUCCGGCGGUCAGGGAUGGGCUCGCGGCCUAUCAGCUUGUUGGUGAGGUAAUGGCUCACCAAGGCUUCGACGGGUAGCCGGCCUGAGAGGGCGACCGGCCACACUGGGACUGAGAUACGGCCCAGACUCCUACGGGAGGCAGCAGUGGGGAAUAUUGCACAAUGGGCGCAAGCCUGAUGCAGCAACGCCGCGUGCGGGAUGACGGCCUUCGGGUUGUAAACCGCUUUCAGUAGGGACGAAGGGUGACUGACGGUACCUACAGAAGAAGGACCGGCUAACUACGUG